AACGAACGCUGGCGGCAUGCCUAACACAUGCAAGUCGAACGAACCCUUCGGGGUUAGUGGCGCACGGGUGCGUAACGCGUGGGAAUCUGCCCUUUGCUUCGGAAUAACAGUUAGAAAUGACUGCUAAUACCGGAUGAUGUCGCAAGACCAAAGAUUUAUAGGCAAAGGGUGAGCCCGCGUAGGAUUAGCUUGUUGGUGAGGUAAAAGCUCACCAAGGCGACGACCCUUAGCUGGUAUGAGAGGAUGAUCAGCCACACUGGGACUGAGACACGGCCCAGACUCCUACGGGAGGCAGCAGUGGGGAAUAUUGGACAAUGGGCGAAAGCCUGAUCCAGCAAUGCCGCGUGAGUGAUGAAGGCCUUAGGGUUGUAAAGCUCUUUUACCAGGGAUGAUAAUGACAGUACCUGGAGAAUAAGCUCCGGCUAACUCCGUGCCAGCCGCCGCCGUAA
This 449-nucleotide ribosomal RNA is filed under the name uncultured bacterium. Its description in RNAcentral is "partial 16S ribosomal RNA". It matches the Rfam family "Bacterial small subunit ribosomal RNA", at positions 29 to 523 of the family's 1533-position model. The record is from RNAcentral.